GAUGAACGCUGGCGGCGUGCCUAAUACAUGCAAGUCGAGCGAACAGACGAGGAGCUUGCUCCUCUGACGUUAGCGGCGGACGGGUGAGUAACACGUGGAUAACCUACCUAUAAGACUGGGAUAACUUCGGGAAACCGGAGCUAAUACCGGAUAAUAUAUUGAACCGCAUGGUUCAAUAGUGAAAGACGGUUUUGCUGUCACUUAUAGAUGGAUCCGCGCCGCAUUAGCUAGUUGGUAAGGUAACGGCUUACCAAGGCAACGAUGCGUAGCCGACCUGAGAGGGUGAUCGGCCACACUGGAACUGAGACACGGUCCAGACUCCUAAGGGAGGCAGCAGUAGGGAAUCUUCCGCAAUGGGCGAAAGCCUGACGGAGCAACGCCGCGUGAGUGAUGAAGGUCUUCGGAUCGUAAAAAUCUGUUAUUAGGGAAGAACAAAUGUGUAAGUAACUAUGCACGUCUUGACGGUACCUAAUCAGAAAGCCACGGCUAACUACGUG
RNAcentral lists this ribosomal RNA (497 nucleotides) under uncultured bacterium. RNAcentral's name for it is "partial 16S ribosomal RNA". It matches the Rfam family "Bacterial small subunit ribosomal RNA", at positions 28 to 507 of the family's 1533-position model. The record is from RNAcentral.